Molecule: non-coding RNA, 174 nt
Filed under: uncultured Bariatricus sp.
Lineage: Bacteria; Bacillati; Bacillota; Clostridia; Lachnospirales; Lachnospiraceae
Description: 6S / SsrS RNA
Rfam family: 6S / SsrS RNA
About the family: E. coli 6S RNA was the first non coding RNA to be sequenced, but its function was unknown until recently. It consists of 184 nucleotides that fold into an extended hairpin structure with a large single-stranded internal bulge.
Source: RNAcentral
AACCUGAGGUGUUCGAUAAUCUCGAUUUUUUGAACCUACAUUACUUUAAACGGGAUUCUUAUAUCUCUGUAAUAUGUCAGGCCUCCAUUACGCAGUGGAAGACAGAAAAGCAGAUGCGGUUGCCCACCUAGCACUAGCUAGGAGUCAAAAAACGAGAAACGGCAUUUCGGGGGA